Molecule: ribosomal RNA, 443 nt
Filed under: uncultured bacterium
Lineage: Bacteria
Description: partial 16S ribosomal RNA
Rfam family: Bacterial small subunit ribosomal RNA
Source: RNAcentral
CCUACGGGGGGCAGCAGUGGGGAAUAUUGGACAAUGGGGGGAACCCUGAUCCAGCGACGCCGCGUGAGUGAAGAAGUAUUUCGGUAUGUAAAGCUCUAUCAGCAGGGAAGAAAGAAAUGACGGUACCUGACUAAGAAGCCCCGGCUAACUACGUGCCAGCAGCCGCGGUAAUACGUAGGGGGCAAGCGUUAUCCGGAUUUACUGGGUGUAAAGGGGGCGUAGAUGGCGAUGCAAGUCUGAAGUGAAAGGCGGGGGCCCAACCCCCGGACUGCUUUGGAAACUGUAUGGCUGGAGUGCAGGAGAGGUAAGUGGAAUUCCUAGUGUAGCGGUGAAAUGCGUAGAUAUUAGGAGGAACACCAGUGGCGAAGGCGGCUUACUGGACUGUAACUGACGUUGAGGCUCGAAAGCGUGGGGAGCAAACAGGAUUAGAUACCCUGGUAGUC